Long non-coding RNA from Oreochromis aureus, 429 nucleotides. The record is from Ensembl. NCBI's taxonomy places the organism in Eukaryota, Metazoa, Chordata, Actinopteri, Cichliformes, Cichlidae.
CAACAUUGUGCAGUAUGAGCGAACCAUUUCACCAAAAAAAGGGGAAGCAAGGCAAGACGUGGCUGCAGCGGUCUGCAGACGUGACUUCUGAUCAAAUUCAAACCUCCUCCUAAAGAAACAAAGAGCGGAAUUACAUUGCGGGAUGACAUCACCUGAAAAUGACCAAUAGCGCGGCGUGCUGCUGAGCUGUGUGCCAACCGCUCUUUUUUUCAUGCAGGAGACUCAAGUUGGCUUCGCUAACGGACACAGUUUUGAACUCGUAUAUUAGCGCCAUUUAUUGCUGCUUGGACCACAGCAUCUUCGGAAUUUGUAGACAUCCUGGCAGCUUACAAUUAGUUCGAGGUGAGACACUGAAUUUGAGCAGAAACCAUUAGGAUACUCAAAGGACCUGUGACUCUCAGGAAAUGCAUCAAAUGAGAGGGACAGAUG